UGGGGAAUUUUGGACAAUGGGCGAAAGCCUGAUCCAGCAAUGCCGCGUGUGUGAAGAAGGCCUUCGGGUUGUAAAGCACUUUUGUCCGGAAAGAAAUCCUUGGCUCUAAUACAGUCGGGGGAUGACGGUACCGGAAGAAUAAGCACCGGCUAACUACGUGCCAGCAGCCGCGGUAAUACGUAGGGUGCAAGCGUUAAUCGGAAUUACUGGGCGUAAAGCGUGCGCAGGCGGUUUGCUAAGACCGAUGUGAAAUCCCCGGGCUCAACCUGGGAACUGCAUUGGUGACUGGCAGGCUAGAGUAUGGCAGAGGGGGUAGAAUUCCACGUGUAGCAGUGAAUGCGUAGAGAUGUGGAGGAAUACCGAUGGCGAAGGCAGCCCCCUGGGCCAAUACUGACGCUCAUGCACGAAAGCGUGGGGAGCAAACAGGAUUAGAUACCCUGGUAGUCCACGCCCUAAACGAUGUCAACUAGUUGUGGGGAUUCAUUUCCUUAGUAACGUAGCUAACGCGUGAAGUUGACCGCCUGGGGAGUACGGUCGCAAGAUUAAAACUCAAAUGAAUUGAC
This 563-nucleotide ribosomal RNA is filed under the name uncultured bacterium. RNAcentral's name for it is "partial 16S ribosomal RNA". It matches the Rfam family "Bacterial small subunit ribosomal RNA", at positions 355 to 914 of the family's 1533-position model. The record is from RNAcentral.